This 84-nucleotide microRNA precursor is filed under the name Cebus imitator (Panamanian white-faced capuchin). Its description in RNAcentral is "miRNA (ENSCCAG00000020497.1)". Lineage: Eukaryota; Metazoa; Chordata; Mammalia; Primates; Cebidae. The record is from RNAcentral.
GUAUUAGAUUGGUGCAAAAGUAAUUGUGGUUUUGCCAUUACUUUUAUUAGUAAAACCUGCAAUCACUUUUGCACCAACCUAAUA